Salvelinus namaycush (lake trout) is the source of this 684-nucleotide long non-coding RNA. RefSeq lists it as uncharacterized. The record is from RefSeq and is a predicted model, not a curated record. The transcript has 5 exons. Lineage: Eukaryota; Metazoa; Chordata; Actinopteri; Salmoniformes; Salmonidae.
CGUCCCCUAUAUGACUAUCUCUGUCCCCACGUUGUGAUUGCCCUCCCCCACUCCACUUUACCGCGCAGAGCCAGAGAGGGAAAAUCACUUUCAUCUGGAGAAGCUCGUCCGGUAACACGGGGCGGCCCAUCUGCAGGUCCCCGCUGUUCCUAAAAGAAAGAUUAAGGAUUUGAGUUGGCCUGACGGAGAGAUCUUCCAGGCGGCUCCGGCCCAUGGAGGAUGCAGAGCAUCACAUCAGAUCAAACAUUGAUAAACCAGUACUUUACCAGCGUUUUAUCAAUAUCUUUAAAGGACGGGGAGUUUUUGCCACUGAAUUCAUAUCCAAAGGAGACUUUGUUGUGGAGUACCGAGGUGAACUGCUUACACAACAGGAGGGCGAGGUCCGAGCUGAUCAGUACAAUGAUUCUGCAAAGGUGUUUCUUUUCGAUUUCCAAUGGAAAGGAAGAACAUGGUGCAUUGAUGCAUCUGAAGAAGACUCCUCCCUUGGGAGACUCGUUAAUGAUGAUCACUAAAGACUCAAUCUCAAAAUGAAGGCCAUACAAGCAAACGAUGAGCCACACUUGUGCCUCUUCGCGACUCGAGAUAUUGCAGCUGGCGAAGAGUUGACUUAUAGUUACGGUGAUUCAGACUGGCCAUGGAGAACACAGGUCAUCAAAACUGAAUUGUCAUCCAGCCCAAAACCUG